AACGAACGCUGGCGGCAUGCCUAACACAUGCAAGUCGAACGAGACCUUCGGGUCUAGUGGCGCACGGGUGCGUAACGCGUGGGAACCUGCCCUUAGGUUCGGAAUAACUCCCCGAAAGGGGUGCUAAUACCGGAUAAUGUCUUCGGACCAAAGAUUUAUCGCCUUUGGAUGGGCCCGCGUUGGAUUAGCUAGUUGGUAGGGUAAAAGCCUACCAAGGCGACGAUCCAUAGCUGGUCUGAGAGGAUGAUCAGCCACACUGGGACUGAGACACGGCCCAGACUCCUACGGGAGGCAGCAGUGGGGAAUAUUGGACAAUGGGCGAAAGCCUGAUCCAGCAAUGCCGCGUGAGUGAUGAAGGCCUUAGGGUUGUGAAGCUCUUUUACCCGGGAUGAUAAUGACAGUACCGGGAGAAUAAGCUCCGGCUAACUCCGU
RNAcentral lists this ribosomal RNA (432 nucleotides) under uncultured bacterium. RNAcentral describes it as "partial 16S ribosomal RNA". It matches the Rfam family "Bacterial small subunit ribosomal RNA", at positions 29 to 506 of the family's 1533-position model. The record is from RNAcentral.